Molecule: ribosomal RNA, 253 nt
Filed under: uncultured bacterium
Lineage: Bacteria
Description: partial 16S ribosomal RNA
Rfam family: Bacterial small subunit ribosomal RNA
Source: RNAcentral
UACGGAGGGGGCGAGCGUUGUCCGAAGUUACUGGGCGUAAAGCGCGCGUAGGCGGGUUGGUAAGUCCGCUGUGAAAGCCCGGAGCUUAACUCCGGAGGGUCGGUGGAUACUGCCAGUCUUGAAGGUGCUAGGGGGAGAUGGAAUUACCGGUGUAGUGGUGAAAUGCGUAGAUAUCGGUAGGAACACCAGUGGCGAAGGCGGUCUCCUGGGGCAUUCUUGACGCUGAGGCGCGAAAGCUGGGGGAGCAAACGGG